CUCUCCUACAAAGGUGUGUCUGUAAUUCCCUCUCCUUGGACAUGUAAGAAUUUGAGGCAAAGAGAUGUGGACUUGGAGAAGUCUGAAACCAGUUUGCACCCCAUCAGGUCAAGAUUACCCUUUCCUACACAC
Molecule: small nucleolar RNA, 132 nt
Filed under: Dasypus novemcinctus (nine-banded armadillo)
Lineage: Eukaryota; Metazoa; Chordata; Mammalia; Cingulata; Dasypodidae
Description: Small nucleolar RNA SNORA38 (ENSDNOG00000038764.1)
Rfam family: Small nucleolar RNA SNORA38
About the family: ACA38 is a member of the H/ACA class of snoRNA that guide the sites of modification of uridines to pseudouridines.
Source: RNAcentral